This 439-nucleotide ribosomal RNA is filed under the name uncultured bacterium. RNAcentral describes it as "partial 16S ribosomal RNA". It matches the Rfam family "Bacterial small subunit ribosomal RNA", at positions 339 to 795 of the family's 1533-position model. The record is from RNAcentral.
CUACGGGACGCUGCAGUGAGGAAUAUUGCACAAUGGGGGGAACCCUGAUGCAGCAACGCCGCGUGGAGGAUGACGCAUUUCGGCGUGUAAACUCCUUUUAUAUGUCAAGAAAAUGACGGUAGCAUAUGAAUAAGCACCGGCUAACUCCGUGCCAGCAGCCGCGGUAAUACGGAGGGUGCAAGCGUUACUCGGAAUCACUGGGCGUAAGGGACGCGUAGGCGGGUUGGAAAGUCAGGUGUGAAAUCCUACAGCUUAACUGUAGAACUGCACUUGAAACUUCUAAUCUAGAGUAUGGGAGGGGGAGAUGGAAUUAGUGGUGUAGGGGUAAAAUCCGUAGAUAUCACUAGGAAUACCUAAAGCGAAGGCGAUCUCCUGGAACAUUACUGACGCUAAGGCGUGAAAGCGUGGGGAGCAAACAGGAUUAGAUACCCCUGUAGUC